Molecule: unclassified non-coding RNA, 316 nt
Filed under: Hevea brasiliensis (rubber tree)
Lineage: Eukaryota; Viridiplantae; Streptophyta; Magnoliopsida; Malpighiales; Euphorbiaceae
Source: RNAcentral
UAGGAUCAUCUUCAGGAAUCUCACGUUCCUUCAAUCCCUUGUAAUAUGCUUCCACAGCUGGGAAUAAAGGAGUUGUGUUUCGAGCUUGCAAGAGGUCCCAUAUAUAAUUGGCAGUUGUAUACCCACCAGUCUUCUCACCCGCUGCUACAAGGAGAAGGUCACUCCCUAAUUUGGCGUUCAAGAAAAAGCCCCUGGAAUUCAUGUUUGCCAGUGUUUCUUGAGCCAAUUGCAUUCCCUUUGGUGUAUAACCAACCAUGGCUCCCUCAACAAGCGUUGCAUAGAGUUCCACUGCUGGAAGACCCCCAGAAUUCAAGUG